UGACUUGGAAUGGAUCCGUGAGCCU
This 25-nucleotide non-coding RNA is filed under the name Rattus norvegicus (Norway rat). The record is from RNAcentral. Lineage: Eukaryota; Metazoa; Chordata; Mammalia; Rodentia; Muridae.